This 634-nucleotide ribosomal RNA is filed under the name uncultured soil bacterium. RNAcentral describes it as "bacterial SSU rRNA". It matches the Rfam family "Bacterial small subunit ribosomal RNA", at positions 55 to 735 of the family's 1533-position model. The record is from RNAcentral.
AUGCAAGUCGAACGCAACCUUCGGGUUGAGUGGCGCACGGGUGAGUAACGCGUGGGAAUCUGCCCUGUGGUACGGAAUAACAUCGGGAAACUGGUGCUAAUACCGUAUAUCCCCUGAGGGGGAAAGAUUUAUCGCCAUAGGAGGAGCCCGCGUAGGAUUAGCUAGUUGGUGGGGUAACGGCCUACCAAGGCGACGAUCCUUAGCUGGUCUGAGAGGAUGACCAGCCACACUGGGACUGAGACACGGCCCAGACUCCUACGGGAGGCAGCAGUGGGGAAUAUUGGACAAUGGGGGAAACCCUGAUCCAGCCAUGCCGCGUGUGUGAUGAAGGCCUUCGGGUUGUAAAGCACUUUCGCACGUGACGAUGAUGACGGUAACGUGAGAAGAAGCCCCGGCUAACUUCGUGCCAGCAGCCGCGGUAAUACGAAGGGGGCAAGCGUUGUUCGGAAUUACUGGGCGUAAAGGGCGCGUAGGCGGUGCACUAAGUCAGGCGUGAAAGCCCUGGGCUCAACCCGGGAACUACGCUUGAUACUGGUGCGCUUGAAUCCAGGAGAGGUUGGUGGAAUUCCCAGUGUAGAGGUGAAAUUCGUAGAGAUUGGGAAGAACACCGGUGGCGAAGGCGGCCAACUGGACU